RNAcentral lists this ribosomal RNA (440 nucleotides) under uncultured bacterium. Its description in RNAcentral is "partial 16S ribosomal RNA". It matches the Rfam family "Bacterial small subunit ribosomal RNA", at positions 338 to 795 of the family's 1533-position model. The record is from RNAcentral.
CCUACGGGUGGCAGCAGUGGGGAAUAUUGCACAAUGGGGGAAACCCUGAUGCAGCGACGCCGCGUGAGGGAAGAAGUAUUUCGGUAUGUAAACUUCUAUCAGCAGGGAAGAAACUGACGGUACCUGACUAAGAAGCCCCGGCUAACUACGUGCCAGCAGCCGCGGUAAUACGUAGGGGGCAAGCGUUAUCCGGAUUUACUGGGUGUAAAGGGAGCGUAGGCGGUGUAGCAAGUCUGAAGUGAAAGCCCGGGGCUCAACCCCGGGACUGCUUUGGAAACUGUUUAACUAGAGUGCAGGAGAGGUAAGUGGAAUUCCUAGUGUAGCGGUGAAAUGCGUAGAUAUUAGGAGGAACACCAGUGGCGAAGGCGGCUUACUGGACUGUAAAUGACGUUGAGGCUCGAAAGCGUGGGGAGCAAACAGGAUUAGAUACCCGGGUAGUC